RNAcentral lists this long non-coding RNA (526 nucleotides) under Mytilus galloprovincialis (Mediterranean mussel). Lineage: Eukaryota; Metazoa; Mollusca; Bivalvia; Mytilida; Mytilidae. The record is from RNAcentral.
GUUACACCUCAGUUAUACAGUAACCCAGAUUGGUUGACCAUUGUGAAGUUGAGUUUUUGGCGUAGCAUAGAUUUAUAUCGUUGUAUUCCUUUUGUUUGUGUUAACCAAUUGUCGUUCGGAAUUAUUUUUUAUACAUCAUUUAUUGAUCUUGCAAUUUCUUGUAAUUAAGUUUGCGUCUUAUUUCUUUGGUGUCAUAUUUUGGCUAUGUUUGUGUUCGAUCAUACAGUAUAAGUCGGUAGUUGCCCGCGAUGGAUUUUUUUUUUAUUUCUUUUGACUCUUUGCGUCUUAUUUUUUUAUUGCAGUUGGUUUUUGUUUUGUGUCAUGUGGAGAUAUGGUGUGAUUUUCUUUUUCUUUUGAUGUGUUUGCAUCUUAAAUGUGGAUUGCACUGAGUUAUUUUAUGAUUUCUUUUGUGCUAUAUUUUCGAUACAUUUUUAGUCUAUCUUAUAGCAUCUUACAAUUGUCCGACGACAUAUGAUACUUUUUUUUGUUCGCCAAUAUUUGUCAUACGAUUCAUACGAUUUGAAUU